GACGAACGCUGGCGGCGUGCCUAACACAUGCAAGUCGAGCGGAGAAUGCGGAUAUGUUUACAUGGAAGCGUUCUUAGCGGCGGACGGGUGAGUAACACGUGGGUAACCUGCCUCAAAGUGGGGGAUAGCCUUCCGAAAGGAAGAUUAAUACCGCAUAAGCCUACAGUGCCGCAUGGUACAGUAGGAAAAGGAGUAAUCCGCUUUGAGAUGGACCCGCGGCGCAUUAGCUAGUUGGUGAGGUAACGGCUCGCCAAGGCGACGAUGCGUAGCCGACCUGAGAGGGUGAUCGGCCACAUUGGAACUGAGACACGGUCCAGACUCCUACGGGAGGCAGCAGUGGGGAAUAUUGCACAAUGGGCGAAAGCCUGAUGCAGCAACGCCGCGUGAGUGAUGAAGGCCUCGGUCGUAAGACUCUUUGUAUCAGGGAGUGAUAAUGACAGUACCUGAAAACAAGACCACGGCUAACUACGUAGCCACGCAGCCGAC
This 486-nucleotide ribosomal RNA is filed under the name uncultured bacterium. RNAcentral's name for it is "bacterial SSU rRNA". It matches the Rfam family "Bacterial small subunit ribosomal RNA", at positions 28 to 519 of the family's 1533-position model. The record is from RNAcentral.